UCCUAAGAAACAUUCAUUUCCUUUCACGGUUAAAGUGUCGAAACGAUGAAACCAAAGGCAGAUGCGUUCAGGGAGAGGCAAUAAAUUCGAUCCUUCUAGCUAAAAUCGGCGUACUAUCGACGAUAAACACUGUAGAUGGUUUGUCAUCAUCGGCAAACGUUCAGAGCAACUUUACGUGCGAAUUUGACUUGCGUGGAAAGGGGAGUGAGAGUAGGGGAAGUUGAGGAGGGAAGCGUCGCGUCGGUCGUGGAAAUGAGUAGUGGGGGCGGUUGGGGAAUCCCUCGCUACGCGCAUGCGCGACCGUAUUGGUGGGGUUACUCAACCGACGGCGCCAGUAUUCUCGUCCCCCUCUAUGCCCCGUCGGGCUCGAGCUGGUCGGUAGUGUUGCCUUGGAAGGGAGGGCACGGAUCACACGCGCGCACUGCCCUGUUCCUCUCUCUUGGUGUGUUUGUUUGUUUAUAGUCGCGUUCUGGGAAAUACCCGAUGCGAGUAAUAUAACGGACUCUUGUGCGCGCGGAGGCUUGCAUUCCCAUUCUGGCGUUGCAUCCGGUCGGUUCGCCGCAACUAUCCCGACGAAUGCCUUCCACAGUAUUCUUCUUUGCCCUGUCACUUAGCAUUCCCUCUUCCCUGGCCACUUAAAUGCGUGUCCUUUUAAAGACUCCUUUUACGUUUAUUCAUCCCGCCUUGAAUGCGAAAGAAUGACAUACGCGUUUCUCGUUAACACGACGAUUCUAUGUAUAACGUUUAACGCUCGUUGGAGUCCAAUCUCGAAUGAUCAUUCUGACAGCUUUGUACAUUCCUCUCGUACGUAAACAUGAGCAUUCCUGAUAUAAUACACCUGCGUGUCACGAAUUUUGGGGAAGGAAGCUGUUAUUUUUAUUGAUACCUAUCGAUCAAUACUAAUUUCAAGAAUCGGCUAGCGAUAACGCGAUCACGGCUUGCCCGAUAUGAUCGAACACGCAACGGGCUGAUAAAAAAGAAUCUUUUAUCGCCACGCGUUCUUUGAAAAAGUAGUCCAGUCAUAAUCUGAAGAAUGCAGUACACCAGCCGCACGGUACUCUUUCAUUGUGUACGCACGAACGUACGCGUAUCUACAAAUCGCACGUCAAAUAUUGUACAAUGGAAUUGUGUAACGAUGUGCUGCGCGGCGCCGUGUCACGGCAAAUCGAGACGUAUCGCGCGAUAAAAUUAAUUAUCAAAUUGACAACGACUGUUUUAGGGGAAACGAAAACAUUAUCGGAACGAAGCGUUGCAAAAAAAUAUUCGACAAAUUUUAUUUCCGUGACUUGAUCAAAAUGAACAGUUGGACUGACAUACAGUCAUGCAACAAUGUUUUUAGAAUUUUCUUUGAUCUUUAUCGAUACCCGAUGGAUAGCGUUGCUGCGUUUUUUUUUUUCUCUGCUUAUCGAACAAGUUUUAUAACUUUGCAAAUCGUUGACGCGGUUUUAAGUUUCUUUUUACUAUCUCUCGUUCGGAACCGAAACGUUGACGAAUGAUUAGGCGUAUCGUUGACGACGGUCAUUCGUUUCACAAAUCUCGGUUCAUUUGUUAGUGCUUCGAAAACUACGGUAUCCGUCGUCGUUUGCACGCAAAUGCGUGGUCUGCCAACGUUUGACAACACUUACGGCCGCGCUCGGCUGAGACCGAUUAAUAAUUCGUGACUGGUCCAUUUAACAAUAUUGUUGUUCAACGGUUCAACCGUUAAUAUCUUGUUUACACGUUCGCAUACGAGGCAACGGCGUUCUUGUAAACCAGAGAGAUUGAAUGUGACGGAAUGACAAAGUCCAGCAUACCGAGAAUGGUUUCGCAGUUGUUGACUCUUCCGCGAAUCAGGGGCAUUAUCGUUUCUUUAAAUGAAUAAUUACCAGUUGUUAUAUCGCCGCGGUACAAGCUUUGCCCGUCUAAUCAUCUAUGACUAAAGAAUAUUUUGAUCGACUGACCGGUCUACAAAAUAUUUACACCCUCCGCAACCUUAAAGGGGUAUUUAAUCAUAGGAGUUGGUAAUCACGAAAAGAUUCCACCGGUCGAUAGCUCGACGGCGUAAGGAUCCGCACAGACGAGACAGGUAAAGAAAAAAAGAAGAGCGCAAUGUGCAUUGGUCGAGGUGGAUCGUCUUCGGUAAAAGAAAAAAGAAGAAGGAAUAAAUAAAUAAAGGAAAGAGGGAAAACCUUUUAUCCCGAUGGGAGGUUUCCAUUGAAUAUGUCAUGCAGUCAUCGAACUUAGGAACGUUAUUAUCGUGAUCGUUUGCUCCAGUGCCUCGUCGCAGUGUAAACACCAUCCGUCGCCGACCAACUGGCGGCACAGAAGGCAAAAUACAUAGCCGGAGAGACACGAGAAGCCUCGUGACGCGUUGCCGCGCUACAUAAUUAGCGCGCGAAAAUAGAUUUUUGCGAAACGAGCCGAGCUCCGCUCUGGUAUGUCAAUGAAAACAAAUCCUUGUUCCCUUUUUUUCCCCUCUACUGCUCCCUUUCUCUUUGUCGAGGCCUGGUAGCUCAGGCGAAGGCCGCCGAAUACUGAAAUAUACACGCCGUUCAGAAUAGUCGAAUCAUUGUUUGCACGAUCGAGAGAGGAGUCACCGAUGCUGUCGUUUCUCGCUCGAUCCUCGCCUCCGAAAUAACGUAGUUACGGUUAAAUACGAGUAAAAUAACGUCAUCGUUGAUUCCCGAUCCCAAGAUGACGCUAUAGUGGCGUCAACAGCUGUUGAUCCUUCAACGGUGGAGCCUGGAUCAAUCGCGAUCCAAACUUACAAAACAUGUACAAAGAAGUGCGGAAGAAUCAUUUUCAGAGAAACAGUGUAAAAUUUAGAAAAUAAAAAUGAAAUUACAAUUGGGGCUCUCUUCAUGGUCCGUCGUCCGAGGGUUAAUGAUUGCCAAACCCCAUGGCGCAUCUGUUGCGUCACAAAAAA
Osmia lignaria (orchard mason bee) is the source of this 2905-nucleotide long non-coding RNA. RefSeq lists it as uncharacterized. The record is from RefSeq and is a predicted model, not a curated record. NCBI's taxonomy places the organism in Eukaryota, Metazoa, Arthropoda, Insecta, Hymenoptera, Megachilidae.